CGAAUCCUACGGGAGGCAGCAGUGAGGAAUAUUGGUCAAUGGCCGAGAGGCUGAACCAGCCAAGUCGCGUGAGGGAUGACGGCCCUACGGGUUGUAAACCUCUUUUGUCGGGGAGCAAAGAGAGUCACGUGUGGCUCAUUGAGAGUACCCGAAGAAAAAGCAUCGGCUAACUCCGUGCCAGCAGCCGCGGUAAUACGGAGGAUGCGAGCGUUAUCCGGAUUUAUUGGGUUUAAAGGGUGCGCAGGCGGAGGUGCAAGUCAGUGGUCAAAUUGCGGGGCUCAACCCCGUACUGCCGUUGAAACUGG
RNAcentral lists this ribosomal RNA (305 nucleotides) under uncultured bacterium. Its description in RNAcentral is "bacterial SSU rRNA". It matches the Rfam family "Bacterial small subunit ribosomal RNA", at positions 333 to 636 of the family's 1533-position model. The record is from RNAcentral.